This 384-nucleotide ribosomal RNA is filed under the name uncultured bacterium. Its description in RNAcentral is "bacterial SSU rRNA". It matches the Rfam family "Bacterial small subunit ribosomal RNA", at positions 28 to 406 of the family's 1533-position model. The record is from RNAcentral.
GACGAACGCUGGCGGCGUGCCUAACACAUGCAAGUGGAGCGACGAACCAGGCUUCGGCCUGGGGCAGAGCCGCGAACGGGUGAGUAACACGUGGGUAACCUGCCCUGAUGAUUGGGACAACCCGAGGAAACUCGGGCUAAUACCAAAUGUGCCCUCCGACCAUAAGGUCGCUGGGGAAAGGAAGCUUCGGCCUCCGCAUCGGGAUGGGCCCGCGGCCCAUUAGCUUGUUGGUGAGGAAUGGCUCACCAAGGCAACGAUGGGUAGCUGGUCUGAGAGGACGAUCAGCCACACUGGGACUGAGACACGGCCCAGACUCCUACGGGAGGCAGCAGUGGGGAAUCUUGCGCAAUGCGCGAAAGCGUGACGCAGCAACGCCGCGUGGGG